This 349-nucleotide long non-coding RNA is filed under the name Triticum aestivum (bread wheat). RNAcentral's name for it is "long non-coding RNA (TAES_LNC004584)". Lineage: Eukaryota; Viridiplantae; Streptophyta; Magnoliopsida; Poales; Poaceae. The record is from RNAcentral.
GUUGAACAAUUAGAGAUGACAAUCAAGUGCAACAAGAUAACGGAGCAUAGGUUCAUAAUUUAAAUGCUCAAAACUUUAACAUUGUUCACGUUCAUUGCCAUCUUCAUCAAACUUCCUAACCCCAGAUAGUUAACAAAACUAUGUUUCUGGAAUACAUUGAUAGCACAACUAACCAAGACCUCAACCAAAACAUUUGGAUCAGAAAGAUAUGAAAUGGAGACAUUCAAGGCAUGGAUCUUCAGGCGGUUUCAGUCACAGGGUACUCAAAGACAACGUCUUUCCCACAAAGCCUGCGGUAGACUGCAGAGAAGGUCUCCAGCUUGUAUUCAGUGUUGUUGCGCUCCUUUGG